GAUGAAGAACGUAGCGAAAUGCGAUAAGUAAUGUGAAUUGCAGAAUUCAGUGAAUCAUCGAAUCUUUGAACGCACCUUGCGCUCCUUGGUAUUCCGAGGAGCAUGCCUGUUUGAGUGUCAUGAAAUUCUCAACCCCAUCGGUCCUUACAACCGGGUAGGGCUUGGAUUAUGGGAGCUGCCGGCGUUCCACAAAGUCGGCUCUUCUCAAAUGCAUUAGCAGGAUCAUUGCUCAAUCAUCUUUGAUAUGAUAAUUAUCUAUAUCAUGGAAAUUUGGCUCACCUGCUUCCAACUGUCGUUAAAGACAAGCAAUGACAAUUUGACCUCAAAUCAGGUAGGACUACCCGCUGAACUUAAGCAUAUCAAUAAAGCGGAGGA
Molecule: unclassified non-coding RNA, 375 nt
Filed under: soil metagenome
Description: partial contains 5.8S ribosomal RNA, internal transcribed spacer 2, and large subunit ribosomal RNA
Rfam family: 5.8S ribosomal RNA (bases 1-120)
Source: RNAcentral